GACGAACGCUGGCGGCGUGCUUAACACAUGCAAGUCGAACGGAAAGGCCCUGCUUGCAGGGUACUCGAGUGGCGAACGGGUGAGUAACACGUGGGUGAUCUGCCAUGCACUUCGGGAUAAGCCUGGGAAACUGGGUCUAAUACCGGCAAGGAGCCAGUUUUAGUGUGAUGGUUGGAAAGUUUUUUCGGUGUAGGAUGAGCUCGCGGCCUAUCAGCUUGGUGGUGGGGUAAUGGCCUACCAAGGCGGCGACGGGUAGCCGGCCUGAGAGUGUGGACGGCCACGGUGGGACUGAGAUACGGCCCAGACUCCUACGGGAGGCAGCAGUGGGGAAGAUUGCACAAGGGGCGCAAGCCUGAUGCAGCGACGCCGCGUGGGGGAGGACGGACUUCGGGUUGUAAACUCCUUUCGCUAGGGACGAAGCUUUUUGUGACGGUACCUAGAUAAGAAGCACCGGCUAACUACGUG
RNAcentral lists this ribosomal RNA (465 nucleotides) under uncultured bacterium. RNAcentral describes it as "partial 16S ribosomal RNA". It matches the Rfam family "Bacterial small subunit ribosomal RNA", at positions 28 to 507 of the family's 1533-position model. The record is from RNAcentral.